This 472-nucleotide ribosomal RNA is filed under the name uncultured bacterium. RNAcentral's name for it is "partial 16S ribosomal RNA". It matches the Rfam family "Bacterial small subunit ribosomal RNA", at positions 28 to 507 of the family's 1533-position model. The record is from RNAcentral.
GACGAACGCUGGCGGCGUGCUUAACACAUGCAAGUCGAACGCUGAAGCUUGGUGCUUGCACUGGGUGGAUGAGUGGCGAACGGGUGAGUAAUACGUGAGUAACCUGCCCUUGACUCUGGGAUAAGCCUGGGAAACUGGGUCUAAUACUGGAUACGACAUGUCACCGCAUGGUGGUGUGUGGAAAGGGUUUUACUGGUUUUGGAUGGGCUCACGGCCUAUCAGCUUGUUGGUGGGGUAAUAGCUCACCAAGGCGACGACGGGUAGCCGGCCUGAGAGGGUGACCGGCCACACUGGGACUGAGACACGGCCCAGACUCCUACGGGAGGCAGCAGUGGGGAAUAUUGCACAAUGGGCGGAAGCCUGAUGCAGCGACGCCGCGUGAGGGAUGACGGCCUUCGGGUUGUAAACCUCUUUCAGCACGGAAGAAGCGAAAGUGACGGUACGUGCAGAAGAAGCGCCGGCUAACUACGUG